Long non-coding RNA from Raphanus sativus (radish), 1266 nucleotides. RefSeq lists it as uncharacterized. NCBI's taxonomy places the organism in Eukaryota, Viridiplantae, Streptophyta, Magnoliopsida, Brassicales, Brassicaceae. The record is from RefSeq and is a predicted model, not a curated record. The transcript is spliced from 2 exons.
GCCUCCUUAGGCUAUCCACGACAUCUUAGCGAGAAAGACAAACGAUGACACCUGUCAAAACCUCAGUGGAUUGUGCCUCUCAAACGUCCAGCAUUCUUUCGCCGUCCGCUUGCGUCAAAUAUACUCGCGUAACGAUUUUCGUAUUCAUUGAGACAUUAUCAUUAAGAUUCAUCCUUAACUCUCUCAUUAAAGCUCCCACAGCUUCGAUUUAAGUUACCCUUUCCCAAUUUCCAUCACUAAUCCCUAAUUAUUAAAUAGCGAUGCAGAAUCUCACUCUUCACCAGUUUUAAUCCUUCUGCUUCAUUACAUAGAUGGUAGUAACGUGUCUCUGCGUUUCUGGGAAGUAUGUAACAGUGAAGAAAGCAGGGGAACUGAUGAGAGUUGACAUGCUUCCGUUUGAUGAUAAGGUUUUGCUAAUUUUUUUUACUGUUUACGAUCCCUGUCUGCCUGCUAAUGUAUGUUUUCCUUUUUCUUCUAAACGAAGUUGUUCUAUAGUUUUUUUCUUUUUUUUGCUAAUUUGUUCUUCCUAUAGUUGUAAGCUUCGAUAACAACAACAAUGGCUAAUUCCUACACGGUUCUUACUGACUUGAAGGCUGGUUGUUGUUCAAACAGCGCUGAGGUCCGCCUUCUCAGAUUCUGGAGGCUCCGAAUGUCAAGAUAGGGGGAGAACCUGAAAAUACUUCUGCUUCGUUUUAAUUAUCGGACUAAGCUCAUGCACUGUUUCUCUGACAGUCAACUCCAUUUUGAAGCCUUCUUGGAAGAUUGGGAGCCAACAAAAGACUCAAUUUUGGUGGUAAGAGCUCUUGGUAUGAGUCUGUUAAAGAUUCUAUUGGCUGAAACCGAGUUCCAUGGCAUAAGGUGUGUCGAUGUGGGAAAUUGGGAAUGACUGGCUCAGUGUUUGAUGAAGGAGAAGAGAAAAGGUUUUCAGAUUAUCUUGGAAAACAAAUCCUUUUGGUUCAGUUUAAUAAAGGUUUUGCUUCAAAAUUCUUUUCAUUUGCAACAGAUGAAUGCACACAGUUAAUUAAGUUUUUUUUCUGAGAAAACUAUGAUACAGAAACUGUAACCAUACCUUCACAUAUCCUGCGUAUGAAGCAGAGUACUCCACAACAUUUGCAGAAAGAGUUUCGGGAAUCCUUGGUAGAGAAUCUUUUAAGAGAGUUGACAGUGUGAUUAAUGUUUCUGCUGUAAAUUUGGAUUUGUGAGUGUAAUUUCUUAACGUCAAACUGGAAAGUAAAUUAUAUGGUUAACUGAAGAGAUGAGAACUGA